UGCAAGUCGAGCGGUAGCACAGGGGAGCUUGCUCCCUGGGUGACGAGCGGCGGACGGGUGAGUAAUGUCUGGGAAACUGCCUGAUGGAGGGGGAUAACUACUGGAAACGGUAGCUAAUACCGCAUAACGUCGCAAGACCAAAGAGGGGGACCUUCGGGCCUCUUGCCAUCAGAUGUGCCCAGAUGGGAUUAGCUAGUAGGUGGGGUAAUGGCUCACCUAGGCGACGAUCCCUAGCUGGUCUGAGAGGAUGACCAGCCACACUGGAACUGAGACACGGUCCAGACUCCUACGGGAGGCAGCAGUGGGGAAUAUUGCACAAUGGGCGCAAGCCUGAUGCAGCCAUGCCGCGUGUGUGAAGAAGGCCUUCGGGUUGUAAAGCACUUUCAGCGAGGAGGAAGGUGGUGAACUUAAUACGUUCAUCAAUUGACGUUACUCGCAGAAGAAGCACCGGCUAACUCCGUGCCAGCAGCCGCGGUAAUACGGAGGGUGCAAGCGUUAAUCGGAAUUACUGGGCGUAAAGCGCACGCAGGCGGUUUGUUAAGUCAGAUGUGAAAUCCCCGGGCUCAACCUGGGAACUGCAUUUGAAACUGGCAAGCUAGAGUCUCGUAGAGGGGGGUAGAAUUCCAGGUGUAGCGGUGAAAU
This 642-nucleotide ribosomal RNA is filed under the name Serratia sp. Arv-22-2.6. RNAcentral describes it as "bacterial SSU rRNA". It matches the Rfam family "Bacterial small subunit ribosomal RNA", at positions 56 to 687 of the family's 1533-position model. The record is from RNAcentral. Lineage: Bacteria; Pseudomonadati; Pseudomonadota; Gammaproteobacteria; Enterobacterales; Yersiniaceae.